UACAGAGGUCUCAAGCGUUGUUCGGAUUCACUGGGCGUAAAGGGCGCGUAGGCGGUUCGCUAAGGUGGAUGUGAAAACUCUGGGCUCAACCCAGAGCCUGCAUCCAAAACUGGCGGGCUAGAGUUCUGGAGGGGGUAGCGGAAUUCCUGGUGUAGCGGUGAAAUGCGUAGAUAUCAGGAGGAACACCGGUGGCGAAGGCGGCUACCUGGACAGAAACUGACGCUGAGGCGCGAAAGCUAGGGGAGCAAACAGG
Molecule: ribosomal RNA, 253 nt
Filed under: uncultured bacterium
Lineage: Bacteria
Description: partial 16S ribosomal RNA
Rfam family: Bacterial small subunit ribosomal RNA
Source: RNAcentral